This 529-nucleotide ribosomal RNA is filed under the name uncultured bacterium. RNAcentral describes it as "partial 16S ribosomal RNA". It matches the Rfam family "Bacterial small subunit ribosomal RNA", at positions 355 to 873 of the family's 1533-position model. The record is from RNAcentral.
UGGGGAAUAUUGCACAAUGGGCGCAAGCCUGAUGCAGCCAUGCCGCGUGUGUGAAGAAGGCCUCGGGUUGUAAAGCACUUUCAGCGAGGAGGAAGGUGGUGAGCUUAAUACGCUCAUCAAUUGACGUUACUCGCAGAAGAAGCACCGGCUAACUCCGUGCCAGCAGCCGCGGUAAUACGGAGGGUGCAAGCGUUAAUCGGAAUUACUGGGCGUAAAGCGCACGCAGGCGGUUUGUUAAGUCAGAUGUGAAAUCCCCGGGCUCAACCUGGGAACUGCAUUUGAAACUGGCAAGCUAGAGUCUCGUAGAGGGGGGUAGAAUUCCAGGUGUAGCGGUGAAAUGCGUAGAGAUCUGGAGGAAUACCGGUGGCGAAGGCGGCCCCCCUGGACGAAGACUGACGCUCAGGUGCGAAAGCGUGGGGCAGCAAACAGGAUUAGAUACCCUGGUAGUCCACGCUGUAAACGAUGUCGAUUUUGGAGGUUGUGCCCCUUGAGGCGUGGNUUCCGGAGCUAACGCGUUAAAUCGACCGUC